RNAcentral lists this ribosomal RNA (448 nucleotides) under uncultured bacterium. RNAcentral describes it as "bacterial SSU rRNA". It matches the Rfam family "Bacterial small subunit ribosomal RNA", at positions 355 to 825 of the family's 1533-position model. The record is from RNAcentral.
UUGGGAAUCUUGCGCAAUGGGCGAAAGCCUGAUGCAGCGACGCCGCGUGGGGGAUGAAGGCCUUAGGGUCGUAAACCCCUUUCAGCAGGGACGAAAAUGACGGUACCUGCAGAAGAAGCCCCGGCCAACUACGUGCCAGCAGCCGCGGUAAGACGUAGGGGGCGAGCGUUGUCCGGAUUUAUUGGGCGUAAAGAGCUCGUAGGCGGUUGCGUAAGUCGGAUGUGAAAACUCAGGGCUCAACCCUGAGACGCCAUCCGAUACUGCGCUGACUUGAAUCCAGUAGGGGAGUGUGGAAUUCCCGGUGUAGAGGUGAAAUUCGUAGAUAUCGGGAGGAACACCAGUGGCGAAGGCGGCGAUCUGGGAAGAUACUGACGCUGAGGUGCGAAAGCGUGGGGAGCAAACAGGAUUAGAUACCCAAGUAGUCCCUGAGCGGGCUGGCAAGGCGCAU